This 492-nucleotide ribosomal RNA is filed under the name uncultured bacterium. Its description in RNAcentral is "partial 16S ribosomal RNA". It matches the Rfam family "Bacterial small subunit ribosomal RNA", at positions 29 to 507 of the family's 1533-position model. The record is from RNAcentral.
AGUGAACGCUGGCGGUAGGCCUAACACAUGCAAGUCGAACGGCAGCACAGUAAGAGCUUGCUCUUACGGGUGGCGAGUGGCGGACGGGUGAGGAAUACAUCGGAAUCUACUUUUUCGUGGGGGCUAACGUAGGGAAACUUACGCUAAUACCGCAUACGACCUACGGGUGAAAGCAGGGGAUCUUCGGACCUUGCGCGAUUGAAUGAGCCGAUGUCGGAUUAGCUAGUUGGCGGGGUAAAGGCCCACCAAGGCGACGACCCGUAGCUGGUCUGAGAGGAUGAUCAGCCAGACUGGAACUGAGACACGGUCCAGACUCCUACGGGGGGCAGCAGUGGGGAAUAUUGGACAAUGGGCGCAAGCCUGAUCCAGCCAUACCGCGUGGGUGAAGAAGGCCUUCGGGUUGUAAAGCCCUUUUGUUGGGAAAGAAAAGCAGCAGGUUAAUACCCCGCUGUUCUGACGGUACCCAAAGAAUAAGCACCGGCUAACUUCGUG